AACAUGUCUUUUUGAAAAUAAUUUAAAGUCAAAUYUGCUCCAUGAAAAUAUAUUAAAUAGCUGCAGAAUUUUAACUGUACAAAGGUAGCAUAAUCAAUAGUUUUUUAAUUAAAAGCUGGAAUGAAUGAUUUAAUAAGGUAAAUAUUGUCUCAAUUUUAAUAAUAUUAUAAUUUUUUUUUUAGUAAAAAUACUAAAUUAAAUUUAAAAGACGAGAAGACCCUAUAGAUUUUUAUAAUUUAAAUUAAUAAAAUUUUAAAUAAAUAAUAAAUUUUAAUAAAAAAUUAUUUGGUUGGGGAAAUUAUUAAAUUAAAUAAAUUUUAAUUAUUUUAAACAAAAAUUAUUGAAUUAAUUGAUCUUAUAUAUAAAUUUUGAGAAUAAAUUACCUUAGGGAUAACAGCGUAAUUUUUUUGGAGAGAUCUUAUUGAUAAAAAAGUUUGCGACCUCGAUGUUGAAUUAAGAUAAAAUUUUAAUGAAGAAAUWAAAAAAUUUUGGUCUGUUCGACCAUUAAAAUCUUA
Molecule: ribosomal RNA, 515 nt
Filed under: Euchalinus sp. 2 BFS-2018
Lineage: Eukaryota; Metazoa; Arthropoda; Insecta; Hymenoptera; Ichneumonidae
Description: partial 16S large subunit ribosomal RNA
Rfam family: Archaeal large subunit ribosomal RNA (bases 390-515)
Source: RNAcentral